RNAcentral lists this long non-coding RNA (355 nucleotides) under Mytilus galloprovincialis (Mediterranean mussel). Lineage: Eukaryota; Metazoa; Mollusca; Bivalvia; Mytilida; Mytilidae. The record is from RNAcentral.
UGUGUUCAUUUAUAAGUUGUUUGUCCCUUUUUGGUGGAGACUGUUAUUAAGACGUUUAUAACUGUAUUUGUUUUCAUAAAAACACUCUGGAUCACGACUUAGGUAUCAUUUCUAUCAUUCAAUUAUAAUUUUAUUUCUAUAUUUGUUAUUUGAUAUAUGUGAACAAUGUUUGAUUUACGGGCCGUAUUCCUACCAAUUCUAGUCAGUAAAAAUGAGUGAGAAGAUAUAUAAAAUGUGUCCCCACAUAUUGCGUUGUCUCCCUUAUCACCAGACUGCAUAGUCGAAACUUUUGUACCUUCAUGAAAUAUGUAAAUCUACUGGUUAUGUUUUAAACUUAUUAUUGGAAUGUUGUAGC